CCUACGGGAGGCAGCAGUGGGGAAUAUUGCGCAAUGGGCGAAAGCCUGACGCAGCGACGCCGCGUGAGGGAUGAAGGUCUUCGGAUCGUAAACCUCUGUCAGCAGGGAAGAACGGGCACUGUGCUAAUCAGCAGUGAAUUGACGGUACCUGCAAAGGAAGCACCGGCUAACUCCGUGCCAGCAGCCGCGGUAAUACGGAGGGGGCGAGCGUUAAUCGGAAGUACUGGGCGUAAAGCGCUCGUAGGCGGUAUGUCAAGUCAAGGGUGAAAUCCCCGCGCUCAACGUGGGAACUGCCUUUGAAACUGGCAAGCUUGAGUGUGUGAGAGGAUAGUAGAAUUCCAGGUGUAGGAGUGAAAUGCGUAGAUAUCUGGAGGAACAUCAGUGGCGAAGGCGACUAUCUGGCACAUGACUGACGCUGAGGAGCGAAAGCGUGGGUAGCAAACAGGAUUAGAUACCCGAGUAGUC
This 465-nucleotide ribosomal RNA is filed under the name uncultured bacterium. RNAcentral's name for it is "partial 16S ribosomal RNA". It matches the Rfam family "Bacterial small subunit ribosomal RNA", at positions 338 to 795 of the family's 1533-position model. The record is from RNAcentral.